This is a long non-coding RNA of Asparagus officinalis (garden asparagus), 602 nucleotides long. RefSeq lists it as uncharacterized. The record is from RefSeq and is a predicted model, not a curated record. Lineage: Eukaryota; Viridiplantae; Streptophyta; Magnoliopsida; Asparagales; Asparagaceae. The transcript is spliced from 3 exons.
GAGAGGGUUCAAGGGGAAAAAAAGAAUUCAUUGUCGCAUCCUCUCUCUCUCUCUCCUCCCUCUCUCUCAUUGAACGAGAAAGAGAGAGACGAAGAGAGGGUGUAGAUUCCAACAUCCCCUUAAAUUCUUUGUAGAUCUUCUUUUUCUUUUCUCGUCAAAUUUUGAGACAGGAAAAGGGAGAAAUUGAGCAAAAAACAAAAAAAAAACAAAAACAAAAAUGGAUCAACAAUCUAUUUUCUACAAAUUUGUGGACAAAUAUUAUAAUCAUAACGUGGCCAGCGAUGUCCCUUGUGCUACGGGCAACAGUUUAGUAUCGAUGUGCGUCGUCCUGGAGAUCCUCCUCCUCGUUAUCAUCUCUCACGGCCUCCACUUCUUCCUCAAACGCCUCGGUCAACCGUCGGCGGUCUCGCAAAUGCUCGCCGGAUUCCUCCUUAGUAAGGCGGUCCUCGGAUCGCACAACAUGUUCCUCGGAAAUUAUGGGCAGCUUAGAAAUCUCACAGCGGCCCUCCGCGUUUUCUUUAUGCUUCUGGUGAGCCUUGAGAUCGACAUAUCCUGCCUCCAACACACCCUGCGGUCCGCUGCCUUGGCCACUCUGGGCAGCG